GAGUGAAAUAGAACCUGAAACCGUGUGCUUACAAGUAGUCAGAGCCCGUUAAUGGGUGAUGGCGUGCCUUUUGUAGAAUGAACCGGCGAGUUACGAUUUGAUGCAAGGUUAAGCAGUAAAUGUGGAGCCGUAGCGAAAGCGAGUCUGAAUAGGGCGUUUAGUAUUUGGUCGUAGACCCGAAACCAGGUGAUCUACCCUUGGUCAGGUUGAAGUUCAGGUAACACUGAAUGGAGGACCGAACCGACUUACGUUGAAAAGUGAGCGGAUGAACUGAGGGUAGCGGAGAAAUUCCAAUCGAACCUGGAGAUAGCUGGUUCUCUCCGAAAUAGCUUUAGGGCUAGCCUCAAGUGAUGAUUAUUGGAGGUAGAGCACUGUUUGGACGAGGGGCCCCUCUCGGGUUACCGAAUUCAGACAAACUCCGAAUGCCAAUUAAUUUAACUUGGGAGUCAGAACAUGGGUGAUAAGGUCCGUGUUCGAAAGGGAAACAGCCCAGACCACCAGCUAAGGUCCCAAAAUAUAUGUUAAGUGGAAAAGGAUGUGGCGUUGCCCAGACAACUAGGAUGUUGGCUUAGAAGCAGCCAUCAUUUAAAGAGUGCGUAAUAGCUCACUAGUCGAGUGACACUGCGCCGAAAAUGUACCGGGGCUAAACAUAUUACCGAAGCUGUGGAUUGUCCUUUGGACAAUGGUAGGAGAGCGUUCUAAGGGCGUUGAAGCAUGAUCGUAAGGACAUGUGGAGCGCUUAGAAGUGAGAAUGCCGGUGUGAGUAGCGAAAGACGGGUGAGAAUCCCGUCCACCGAUUGACUAAGGUUUCCAGAGGAAGGCUCGUCCGCUCUGGGUUAGUCGGGUCCUAAGCUGAGGCCGACAGGCGUAGGCGAUGGAUAACAGGUUGAUAUUCCUGUACCACCUAUAAUCGUUUUAAUCGAUGGGGGGACGCAGUAGGAUAGGCGAAGCGUGCGAUUGGAUUGCACGUCUAAGCAGUAAGGCUGAGUAUUAGGCAAAUCCGGUACUCGUUAAGGCUGAGCUGUGAUGGGGAGAAGACAUUGUGUCUUCGAGUCGUUGAUUUCACACUGCCGAGAAAAGCCUCUAGAUAGAAAAUAGGUGCCCGUACCGCAAACCGACACAGGUAGUCAAGAUGAGAAUUCUAAGGUGAGCGAGCGAACUCUCGUUAAGGAACUCGGCAAAAUGACCCCGUAACUUCGGGAGAAGGGGUGCUCUUUAGGGUUAACGCCCAGAAGAGCCGCAGUGAAUAGGCCCAAGCGACUGUUUAUCAAAAACACAGGUCUCUGCUAAACCGUAAGGUGAUGUAUAGGGGCUGACGCCUGCCCGGUGCUGGAAGGUUAAGAGGAGUGGUUAGCUUCUGCGAAGCUACGAAUCGAAGCCCCAGUAAACGGCGGCCGUAACUAUAACGGUCCUAAGGUAGCGAAAUUCCUUGUCGGGUAAGUUCCGACCCGCACGAAAGGCGUAA
RNAcentral lists this ribosomal RNA (1465 nucleotides) under Staphylococcus aureus M1532. Its description in RNAcentral is "bacterial LSU rRNA". It matches the Rfam family "Bacterial large subunit ribosomal RNA", at positions 536 to 2004 of the family's 2925-position model. The record is from RNAcentral. Lineage: Bacteria; Bacillati; Bacillota; Bacilli; Caryophanales; Staphylococcaceae.